AGGGCUGUGGCUCAGUGGUGGAGCAUAUGUAUUGCAUGCAAAAGGACACAGGUUCAGUCCCUGGCACCCCAG
Podarcis lilfordi (Lilford's wall lizard) is the source of this 72-nucleotide non-coding RNA. NCBI's taxonomy places the organism in Eukaryota, Metazoa, Chordata, Lepidosauria, Squamata, Lacertidae. The record is from the annotation of a GenBank genome assembly.